CUCUGGGAGUGUCAGUCCCAACCUCAGCUUUCAUGGGGAAGAAAGUGAGCUCAAGAUUCAACAGCACCAGGCAGGUUCCUUCGGGAAGUUUUAAGGUGAUGGCGGCGGAGAAAGAGAUAGACGAAGAGACACAGACCGAAAAGGACCGAUGGAAAGGGUUGGCUUACGAUAUUUCGGACGACCAACAAGACAUUACUCGAGGGAAAGGGAUGGUGGAUUCCUUGUUCCAAGCUCCCAUGAAUGAUGGAACUCACUAUGCCGUCAUGAGUUCCUAUGAAUACCUCAGCCAAGGUCUUAAAACGUAAGUACUCUCCCACUCUCCUAUACCGGAGCGUUAUCGAUUACCAUCUACCUCUUAUAUGAUGAUUAUAUAUAAUUUUAGGUACAAUUUGGACAACAACAUGGAUGGUUUCUACAUUGCUCCUGCAUUCAUGGACAAGCUUGUUGUUCACAUCACCAAGAACUUCAUGUCCCUCCCUAACAUUAAGGUUCCUCUAAUCUUGGGUAUUUGGGGAGGCAAAGGUCAAGGAAAAUCUUUCCAAUGUGAGCUUGUGUUUGCCAAGAUGGGUAUCAAGUGAGUUCCUGAUUUUCUUAUGUUACUCUUUUUUUUUUUUGAAGUAUUCUUAUUUUCUCGGUAUUUAAAUUUAGAUACGAGUAAUGUUUCUUCAAAUACAUGAAAAAGAAUUACCUAUAUUAAAUUAAAUUUAUUGAAUUAUUUUGAUAAUUAUGUUGAGUUUGGAUAAAAAUUUUGUUGAUUUAAUAAGGGAAGUCAUAAAUAUUGUUCCUUUAAGAAAAACAAAUAUUUUUAUUUUAAUAUAGUUAUAAAUAUAUUAAAGUAAUUAUAUUUUUUUAAUAUUGUUUACAAAUGAAUCUAUAUUAUAUAUUAAGUUUUUAAUUGAGAUGUCACGAAUUAAUCAAAUAUCAACUCGAGUAAUAACUAAAAUAUUACUACUUUACAGAAUGAAUUAUAUUAUUUUGAGGAUGUAUGUAUCAUUUUAUAUCUUUUAUAUAAAAAUAGAAAAAUAUGGAUUUAAAUUUAAAAUAUUAUAGUUUUCAAUAAAUUUUCUUAGGUCUAAUUUUGCUAUUAAACCUUGCGCAAGUUAUGGAUGUAGUACAUGUUCUUUAAUUUGGUCAUUUUUAGUUUUUCUACUUUUAGAAUUUGAAAAUUUUAGUCAUAACCAAAUGAUAACUAUUAAAUUUAUUAAGUUAAAUUCUGUUAUUUUUAAAUUUUGAUGUGUCAAACAUAUUAUCACGUAAUGUUAUGUUUAUUAUUUUCACAUAUUACUCACAAAAAAAUUAGUUAAUAGAUUUAAUGGUUGUUGUCUGCAUUAAAUCUAAAAUUUUAAAUUUAAAAAAAUAUAGUCACUAAGAAUAAUCUAAUUGGUGAAUUGGACUAAAUUUUAGGCAUAAUACAGGACUAAUUACAUAAUUUAACCAAAUAGAUUUAACUAUUGUUGUUGGGUUAAGAUUAAAAUUUUAAAACUUGAAAAGUAUAAGGGACUAAAAUUGAUCAAAUUAAAUUACAUGUAUUAAAUCCAUAAUUUAUACAAAAUACAAAGUCUAAUAACAAAAUUUGUCCAUUUUUCUUAUCAUUUCAUCUAAAAACUCGUUUAUCCUUUAUAUCAAUUUAUUUUAAAUAAAAUUAUUACAUAAUAUUGUUUUUAUUCAACAAUUAUGCUGUGAUAACUGAUAAAUUAUUAACAAUGAAUAACUUCCAGCCCCAUCAUGAUGAGUGCCGGAGAACUGGAAAGUGGAAACGCCGGUGAACCAGCCAAGUUGAUCAGGCAAAGGUACCGCGAAGCUGCCGACAUAAUCAAAAAGGGCAAAAUGUGCGCCCUCUUCAUUAACGAUCUCGAUGCUGGUGCCGGUCGUAUGGGAGGAACCACCCAAUACACCGUCAACAACCAGAUGGUUAAUGCUACCCUCAUGAACAUCGCCGAUAACCCCACCAACGUCCAGCUCCCCGGUAUGUACAACAAGGAAGAGAACCCCCGUGUCCCCAUUAUCGUCACUGGUAACGAUUUCUCCACACUGUAUGCUCCUCUCAUCCGUGACGGUCGUAUGGAGAAAUUUUACUGGGCACCAACUAGGGACGACCGUGUCGGUGUUUGCAAAGGUAUUUUCAGGACCGACGGCAUCCCAGAUGAAGACAUUGUUAAGCUCGUCGACACCUUCCCCGGCCAAUCCAUCGGUAACUCUCAUUAAUUUUUUUUUCACUAGGUUUAAUUAUUCUUACAGUUCCUAUACGCUUCACAAUUUGAAAUUUAGUCCUCCACUACUUACUUGAAAAUAUGUUAUUACGUGGGUUCAUUGUUUUCAGUGGCGGAACUACGUUAGAGCCAGAGGAGAUCCUGGCCACCAAAAUUUUGAAUUUUUUUUUAUUAAAUCCUUCAAAAAUUUUAAAAAUUUUAAUCAAGUUUUUCUUAAAGUUUUGAAAGUUUUAAAUAAACCCCAAAACUCAAUGACACGUUCUGUCACUGUUUCAAGUACGGAUCAUUCGAUUGAUAUAUUACGAUUAACAAUUGUUUUUCUUUUUGGAUUGAUAAAUUGUAGAUUUCUUCGGUGCCUUGAGGGCUCGGGUUUACGAUGACGAAGUGAGGAAAUGGAUCAGUGAUGUCGGAGUUGCAGGCGUAGGGAAGAAGUUAGUGAACUCAAGGGACGGACCUCCAACAUUUGAGCAACCGAAAAUGACCAUUGAAAAGCUAUUGGAAUAUGGAAACAUGCUUGUUGCUGAGCAAGAGAAUGUUAAGAGAGUCCAAUUGGCUGACAAAUACUUGAGUGAAGCUGCCCUUGGUGAAGCUAAUGAAGAUUCUAUCAACAGAGGAACUUUCUAUGGUUAGAUAGAUUACCCCCUUUCAUCUUUUCUCUUAACUCAAAUUCGGGUUUUGUAAAAUCGACCCGAACUCGAAUUUCUUUUUACAAUUUGACCCUAGUGACAAAGAAUGUUGUGUUUGUUGGCAGGC
Molecule: long non-coding RNA, 2963 nt
Filed under: Gossypium raimondii (Peruvian cotton)
Lineage: Eukaryota; Viridiplantae; Streptophyta; Magnoliopsida; Malvales; Malvaceae
Description: long non-coding RNA (GRAI_LNC008674)
Source: RNAcentral